Molecule: long non-coding RNA, 685 nt
Organism: Cyprinus carpio (common carp)
Lineage: Eukaryota; Metazoa; Chordata; Actinopteri; Cypriniformes; Cyprinidae
Gene: bdh2
Exons: 2
Source: RefSeq, a predicted model, not a curated record
UAAGUGUAUUAUAAUUAUUAUAAAUGUAAAAAAAAGAUUGUUCUGUAAAAAUUGUAAAACCACUUUCCACCAUGAAUCUAAAUGAUGUGAUCCAGCUGUCAGCAGAAUAAAAUGACACAUCUGCUUUUUGAAACCUUCUGAGAAUGGCUGUUUAUGAACAAUGCUUCUGUGAAAACAAUUUUCCUCACACAAGGUGCUAUUUUUUGCUUUUAGCAUAUUAUUGAAAGCCAUAGAACAAUAGAUUUUUUUUUUUGAAUGAGUACAAAAAUCUUUUUUUAUACAAACACUAAGCAAUGUGUUUUUUUUUUUUUUUUUUUUUUCAUCUCUCAGGCUUUUAAAGUUUAUGGCCAGACAGAAGACUGGUAGAAUGUGCACUGCAGAAGAAGUGGCACAUCUGUGUGUGUACUUGGCCUCAGAUGAGUCUGCCUAUGUAACAGGAACAGAAGCCAUCAUUGAUGGAGGAUGGAGACUCUGAGGAUGUUUUGUUACAUUUAUUAAAUAACCUGUUAACAUGCAUGCAGUUUGAGUUCCAGACAAACAUAGUCACUGAUUUUCUUCAUCUUUAAAACUGUAAUGCUGCAAUGGUGCUGUUGAUUGUACUGAAUAUGAAUUGAAUCGUUCCUGGUAAUAGAUGUCAAAAAUUGUGGAUGUCAAGCUCACUUACUGCAUGUCAUCUAAUCUUCAG